This 562-nucleotide ribosomal RNA is filed under the name uncultured bacterium. Its description in RNAcentral is "bacterial SSU rRNA". It matches the Rfam family "Bacterial small subunit ribosomal RNA", at positions 338 to 916 of the family's 1533-position model. The record is from RNAcentral.
CCUACGGGAGGCAGCAGUGGGGAAUUUUGCGCAAUGGGCGAAAGCCUGACGCAGCAACGCCGCGUGCGGGAUGAAGGCUCUCGGGUCGUAAACCGCUUUCAGCAGGGAUGAAAUUGACAGUACCUGCAGAAGAAGCCCCGGCUAAAUACGUGCCAGCAGCCGCGGUAAUACGUAUGGGGCAAGCGUUAUCCGGAUUCAUUGGGCGUAAAGAGCGCGUAGGCGGCUUGCUAAGUUAGAUGUGAAAUCCGGGGGCUCAACCCGCGGUCUGCAUCUAAAACUGGCAGGCUUGAGUCUGGUAGAGGAAAGUGGAAUUCCCAGUGUAGCGGUGAAAUGCGCAGAUAUUGGGAGGAACACCAGUGGCGAAGGCGGCUUUCUGGGCCACGACUGACGCUGAGGCGCGAAAGCUAGGGGAGCAAACAGGAUUAGAUACCCUGGUAGUCCUAGCCGUAAACGAUGGGCACUAGGUGUGGGGGGUCAUCAACUCCCUCCGUGCCGCAGCUAACGCAUUAAUGCCCCGCCUGGGGAGUACGGCCGCAAGGCUAAAACUCAAAGGAAUUGACGG